Molecule: non-coding RNA, 898 nt
Organism: Anas platyrhynchos (mallard)
Lineage: Eukaryota; Metazoa; Chordata; Aves; Anseriformes; Anatidae
Source: RefSeq, a predicted model, not a curated record
GAGGGGAGGGGGGGGCGCCCCGGCCCCUCUCUCCCUCCCUCCCUCCUCAGCCGCCCCUCGCGGCGGGCCCCGGUCCCCCGGGGAGGAGCGGAGGGCUCAGGCCGAGCGGCCGCGCUCUGCAGGGAGAGCGGAGACAAAGGUGGUGAAAAGCGGAGCGCCCCGCACAGCGCUGCCCCUCCGUGCCCGGGCCUGGCAGGGAAAUCUGGCAGGUCACCCACUGCGGGGACCGAGAAGGAGGGAAGCAUUGUCUGCGCGGCAGCCAGCAGCAGCAUCAGGAGGGGACACCUGCACCCCGGGUCUGCCAAGGACACUGCACUGCAGAGGGAAGCCACUUGGCUGGUGUGUGCUUCAGGGCCUACAGCUGUUCGGUACAGAAGUCACAACACUGAUGAUGAGCUGGGAUUGCUACUCCCCUUCCUGGCAGCACACUAUGUCAAGUGCUGAGUGCAGGGAGCUUCCAGAGGGCACUACACUGGGACAUUUAAGACGCUGACAUCCUCCAGGGCAUCUCCUCACAAGGGACACAAGAGGUGACUCAGCUGGAAAGUCAACAUUACAUUUAGGAGAUAAAAUGUAUUAAAUAAGGAUUCAAAGACAGAUCAAGAAAAGAAAUCAAGGCAUCUAUGACAGAUGGACUUAAUCACCUAAGCUGAAAAUUACAGCAUACAACUGCCCAGUGCUGCAGCAGCCCAGGUGCCUUCUUUAUAUUUUGAUCAUUCCUCCAGCAUCCAUAGUUCUGCUUUUUGGCAUGCCCAGAACUGCUCCCACUCCAAUAACCACUCAUCUAGUUCUCAACUUAACCUGUUACAGUUGAGAAACCAGGCAAAGCAUCACUUAUGUCCCCAAGGAGUCUUUUGCAGGGAGUCUAUAUUAUGCCUACAGUAUACAUCAUAUGCAU